This 541-nucleotide ribosomal RNA is filed under the name Halomonadaceae bacterium. RNAcentral's name for it is "bacterial SSU rRNA". It matches the Rfam family "Bacterial small subunit ribosomal RNA", at positions 780 to 1320 of the family's 1533-position model. The record is from RNAcentral. Lineage: Bacteria; Pseudomonadati; Pseudomonadota; Gammaproteobacteria; Oceanospirillales; Halomonadaceae.
AGAUACCCUGGUAGUCCACGCCGUAAACGAUGUCAACUAGCCGUUGGGUCCCUUGAGGACUUAGUGGCGCAGCUAACGCAAUAAGUUGACCGCCUGGGGAGUACGGCCGCAAGGUUAAAACUCAAAUGAAUUGACGGGGGCCCGCACAAGCGGUGGAGCAUGUGGUUUAAUUCGAUGCAACGCGAAGAACCUUACCUACCCUUGACAUCCAGAGGACUUUCCAGAGAUGGAUUGGUGCCUUCGGGAACUCUGAGACAGGUGCUGCAUGGCUGUCGUCAGCUCGUGUUGUGAAAUGUUGGGUUAAGUCCCGUAACGAGCGCAACCCCUAUCCUUAUUUGCCAGCGAGUAAUGUCGGGAACUCUAAGGAGACUGCCGGUGACAAACCGGAGGAAGGUGGGGACGACGUCAAGUCAUCAUGGCCCUUACGGGUAGGGCUACACACGUGCUACAAUGGCAAGUACAAAGGGUUGCAAUACGGCGACGUGGAGCCAAUCCCAUAAAGCUUGCCUCAGUCCGGAUUGGAGUCUGCAACUCGACUCCA